GGAAGCGUGGCAGAGCGGCCGAUUGCAUCCGCCUUGAAAGCGGACGUCACGAGAGUGACCGGGGGUUCGAAUCCCCCCGCUUCCG
Molecule: transfer RNA, 85 nt
Filed under: Actinomycetospora succinea
Lineage: Bacteria; Bacillati; Actinomycetota; Actinomycetes; Pseudonocardiales; Pseudonocardiaceae
Also listed under: 10 other names
Description: tRNA-Ser
Rfam family: tRNA
About the family: Transfer RNA (tRNA) molecules are approximately 80 nucleotides in length. Their secondary structure includes four short double-helical elements and three loops (D, anti-codon, and T loops). Further hydrogen bonds mediate the characteristic L-shaped molecular structure. tRNAs have two regions of fundamental functional importance: the anti-codon, which is responsible for specific mRNA codon recognition, and the 3' end, to which the tRNAs corresponding amino acid is attached (by aminoacyl-tRNA synthetases). tRNAs cope with the degeneracy of the genetic code in two manners: having more than one tRNA (with a specific anti-codon) for a particular amino acid; and 'wobble' base-pairing, i.e. permitting non-standard base-pairing at the 3rd anti-codon position.
Source: RNAcentral